UACGGAGGGAGCUAGCGUUGUUCGGAAUUACUGGGCGUAAAGCGCACGUAGGCGGCUAUUCAAGUCAGAGGUGAAAAGCCCGGGGCUCAACCCCGGAACUGCCUUUGAAACUAGAUAGCUUGAAUCCAGGAGAGGUGAGUGGAAUUCCGAGUGUAGAGGUGAAAUUCGUAGAUAUUCGGAAGAACACCAGUGGCGAAGGCGCUCACUGGACUGGUAUUGACGCUGAGUGCGAAAGCGUGGGGAGCAACAGGAUUAGAUACCUGUAC
Molecule: ribosomal RNA, 266 nt
Filed under: uncultured bacterium
Lineage: Bacteria
Description: partial 16S ribosomal RNA
Rfam family: Bacterial small subunit ribosomal RNA
Source: RNAcentral